Molecule: long non-coding RNA, 361 nt
Filed under: Phasianus colchicus (ring-necked pheasant)
Lineage: Eukaryota; Metazoa; Chordata; Aves; Galliformes; Phasianidae
Description: lncRNA (ENSPCLG00000011918.1)
Source: RNAcentral
GGGUGCCUGAUAGCUGGAUGCUCUCCCCCAUGGGCCACAGACUGUCAGCCUCUCUUGUGCUUCUCAGUCUCCCCUUUUGAACAAUGUAAAGGUCUCAUGUGUUUUAUGGUCACUGGGGACUGCAGAAGAGGUGUUGAGCCAGAGUCCACUUCCUGCAAUCAAAGCUCAUCUCACCUGGAUGGCUCUUUGAGGUCAAAGCAGGCUGUUGUCAGCUGAGCAGGAUGAUCCUGAACAGAGGUGUCCUUUGCGGCAGGACGUGGCUCCUCAACCUGGGCUCUGCCAUUCCACAGACCAUCCUGACUGCAGCAUAGCUCUUGCUGCAGCUCCAUCAUGUUUUGUCAAGUUCAGUGAGGCUAUCUGG